Molecule: small RNA, 82 nt
Filed under: Kaistella chaponensis
Lineage: Bacteria; Pseudomonadati; Bacteroidota; Flavobacteriia; Flavobacteriales; Weeksellaceae
Description: Chryseobacterium chaponense Flavo-1 RNA
Rfam family: Flavo-1 RNA
Source: RNAcentral
UUUUAGCCCCGAUUGCAGUGGCAUCCUUUUUCUUUUUUUUCUAAGAAAAAAGAAAAAGAUAUAACGGAAAGCGGGUCGAGUC